CGUGCGUCUCACGUUUUUUUGCUUCGGUGCAUUUGUUGCGGAAAGUAGCGCCGUGCUAUAGACGAAGCACACUGUGGAAGGAAGCGCCUAUAUGCAUGUGUGUACAUAUAUAUACACGGCGCCUAAACCGGAAACGCCAACGAGGUCGAACCCAUCCAUCGCUGUCGCCACUACUGCUUUAUUCUACUCGUGCAUGCGUGUCUGCGGCAGAGCUGCGGAUGCGAAGGAGUAUUGCAGCUCGCACCGCCCCCUUCCCCACUCACUCGCUCGCAGAGGUGCGCACGCCUUGGUACCGUCCUCUUCCUGUAUUCUCUCCCUCCGCCUCGGACUCUCCGUCGUUGCAACUUCGUGUCCGGCAAGCUAAGAAAGACGAGUGCAGCCGCUCGGGGCGUUUGCGCUUCAAUCGUCAUCAUUGCGGUCGAAUACCGUGCCGCUAUGUUGAGCCAGCCAACGCGUCGCUGCCUGUUCACGGCGGUGUCCUCGGUGUCGAGCACCACUGCCGCCUCCUCUUCGGGCGGCGUGUCGCGCGAGCUGGAUGCGUCGGCGGUGAGGCGGUCGGCCUUUGCCCAGCCGGGGCUGGAGGGACUGCGCAUCGCUGCGUACGCGCCUACUGAGCCAGGCGUGCCGUCGUCGCAGCGCCGGCUUCCCGUGGCUAUUGGUCACGUCGUCGCGCAGCUGUCGUCCCUUGUGUUCGCAGUAGACUUCGAUGACAGACUACCACCGCCCGCCGUGUCGCUGGGAUCACGCGUCUACGUGGCCUACGAGCGGGAGGAUGUGGACCCGAUUUCGCAGCAGGGCGAUGGAGGCGUGGGUGGUGCACCGAGUCGCGUCUUCCUGGUGGGCGGCCUCGUCGUGCGAGUGAACCCUAAUGGCACCUUGGGUGUCCUGCUGGACCACAACAAGGUAGAUCUGGCGGUCCCGCCGGAAAAGAUAGCCGUGACGGAGGGCGUGUGCAAGUUCCUCAAUCAUCCCAAGUACCUGCGGGUCGUGGAGUGGGUGCGCUCCGCCGGUCUCUCGGAGACGGACGACGUGGAGAGCACCGCGUGCAUCCUGUACCACCGCGGCUGGCGGGCGGAGCGUCUGUACCUGCUCGAGGCUUCUGACAUCCGCAGCAUGACGCACCUGUCCCAGUCCGCCCGCAUGUCGCUCAUGGAGAAGGCAGAGUGGCAGCGCGAUCACCACCGUCAGAUGCGCAACAUUCACAGGGAGCGUGUGAAGGAGCGGGACCGACGGUACAUGUCGGCCAAGUACGCCGGCAUCCUCUCCGCCAGCGUCGCCUUCUGCGGUGCCUUUUCGCUCUUUGGGUGGAACUACAGGAACUACCUGACGCACCAGCGCUCCUACCAGAUGCGUUUCGCGGUGAAGACGCUCUGCAAGAAGGUGCCUCCGGGAAGCGCAGCCACCAUCGGCGCGCCGCCAGCAGCGACGGGUGUGGAGACAUCGAUGUCGUCGUCUGCGGCGCAUCGCAUGUCGAAGCACGUUAGUCGGGUGGUGCAGGAGCGCUGGAUUCGACAGGUGUUUCACCGACUCGAUACAGCGCACCCUCGUAUCGUGGUUAUCACCGGGUACUUUGGGUGCGGGAAGAGCUCGCUGUGCUGCACUGCCAUUCACGAUGAAGGCAUGGCCGGCGUCUUCGUGGAUGUGCGCAACAAGGAGGACACGCUGCGCAGCGUCAUCAAGGCACUUGGUGUGCCGCACGUCGAGGCCUGCGGCGACCCCCUCGACUUCAUCUCGGAAGCAUGUUACAAGGCCAAGUCCAUCACGAAUGGAAAGGCGCCCGUGAUUGUGCUGAAGCUGCGUGAGGGGAAUAGCCUGACGCGUGUGUACAACGAGGCGCUGACGCUGGCGUGCGAUCGCCGCGCGUGCCACAUCGUGGUUGAGCUGCCGCUCGAGUCGCUGACCACGACUAACACGUUGCUGCCGCGGUUGGAUUUUUACACGGUCCCCAACUUCAGCCGCUCGCAGGCGUACGAGUACAUUCAACAUCGCCUCGACGCUCUCGGCAUGGAGGUGUUUCUGGACACCGUGGGCACGAACAGCAACGACUUGGAUGAGCUGCUUGCUGCCGCUCAUCAGCACCGUGUAUCGGCGACAGAGUACACGAACCAGAAGCUUCUCAAGGCGAUGCGCCGGCUGCAGACGGCGUGGGGCGAUGACGCGCAGCUCAAGGCGGCCGUGAAGCGUCUGGCGCAGUUGCCAUACGAUGAAGGCCAACACGAGGGCCUUGACGACAGCAGUCUCAGCCACCCAUCGCUGCGCGAUGUGAUCUUCUACAAUUCUGUGCAGGAUGUUUGGCUCUUCAAGAACCAAGUGCUGCACACCGCCGCCUCCUGCUUGCUAUGAGGCGGCUCAACACGGCGCGGACGAGAAAGCGGCGGCAGGCAUCUCUGUGCACGUGCUCUGCGGGCCGUCGCUGACGUACUACUCCGGGGCAGGGGGGAGGGAAGUAAGCAGAGCCGUGCAAUGCAUGGCUCAUGGGUGCCCUCUCCGUGCACCGGCAUUACUCAGACCGCCUGGUGGGGCAGCAGGCAUCGAGCUAGUAGCUGGACGGUGCUGCUGCCGUCGCGCCCGACACUUUGGGGAUGGUCGAGGACGAGCGCAGCGUCAGCAGGCGAGAAAG
This 2620-nucleotide unclassified non-coding RNA is filed under the name Leishmania donovani. RNAcentral describes it as "gene:LdHU3.08.1020(CDS-product:tuzin_putative)". The record is from RNAcentral. Lineage: Eukaryota; Euglenozoa; Kinetoplastea; Trypanosomatida; Trypanosomatidae.